RNAcentral lists this ribosomal RNA (443 nucleotides) under uncultured bacterium. Its description in RNAcentral is "partial 16S ribosomal RNA". It matches the Rfam family "Bacterial small subunit ribosomal RNA", at positions 338 to 795 of the family's 1533-position model. The record is from RNAcentral.
CCUACGGGUGGCAGCAGUGGGGAAUAUUGGUCAAUGGAGGAAACUCUGACCCAGCAACGCCGCGUGAAUGAUGAAGGUCUUCGGAUUGUAAAGUUCUUUUCUAAGGGAAGAAGAAAGUGACGGUACCUUAGGAGUAAGCCUCGCCUAACUACGUGCCAGCAGCCGCGGUAAUACGUAGAAGGCGAGCGUUAUCCGGAAUGACUGGGCGCAAAGGGUGCGUAGGUGGUUUGGAAAGUGAAUAGCUUAACUCCAAGGCUCACCCUUUGAACUACUACUAAGACUGUUGGACUUGAGUGCAGGAGGGGCAACCGGAAUUCCUAGUGUAGCGGUGGAAUGCGUAGAUAUUAGGAGGAACACCAGUGGCGACGGCGGGUUGAUAGACUGUAACUGACACUGAGGCACGAAAGCGUGGGGAGCAAACAGGAUUAGAUACCCUUGUAGUC